Molecule: transfer RNA, 66 nt
Filed under: Aristena rechingeri
Lineage: Eukaryota; Metazoa; Mollusca; Gastropoda; Stylommatophora; Helicidae
Description: tRNA-Gly
Source: RNAcentral
UUUGUCGCUAAUACAAUGGUACCAUAUUCCCAAUUUCUUGGAUUGAAAAACUUAUCAACUGAUAAC